GCCCUUAUAGCUCAGUUGGUAGAGCACCUGAUUUGUAAUCAGGGGGUCGCGGGUUCGAGUCCUGCUGGGGGCACCA
RNAcentral lists this transfer RNA (76 nucleotides) under Rhizobiales bacterium 63-22. RNAcentral describes it as "tRNA-Thr". It matches the Rfam family "tRNA". From Rfam's summary of the family: Transfer RNA (tRNA) molecules are approximately 80 nucleotides in length. Their secondary structure includes four short double-helical elements and three loops (D, anti-codon, and T loops). Further hydrogen bonds mediate the characteristic L-shaped molecular structure. tRNAs have two regions of fundamental functional importance: the anti-codon, which is responsible for specific mRNA codon recognition, and the 3' end, to which the tRNAs corresponding amino acid is attached (by aminoacyl-tRNA synthetases). tRNAs cope with the degeneracy of the genetic code in two manners: having more than one tRNA (with a specific anti-codon) for a particular amino acid; and 'wobble' base-pairing, i.e. permitting non-standard base-pairing at the 3rd anti-codon position. The record is from RNAcentral. RNAcentral also lists the same sequence under 2 other names. Lineage: Bacteria; Pseudomonadati; Pseudomonadota; Alphaproteobacteria; Hyphomicrobiales.